UACGUAGGGGGCAAGCGUUGUCCGGAAUCAUUGGGCGUAAAGAGCGUGUAGGCGGUUCGGUAAGUCCGCUGUGAAAGUCCAGGGCUCAACCCUGGAAUGCCGGUGGAUACUGCCGGGCUAGAGUCCGGAAGAGGCGAGUGGAAUUCCUGGUGUAGCGGUGAAAUGCGCAGAUAUCAGGAGGAACACCGAUGGCGAAGGCAGCUCGCUGGGACGGUACUGACGCUGAGACGCGAAAGCGUGGGGAGCAAACAGG
RNAcentral lists this ribosomal RNA (253 nucleotides) under uncultured bacterium. RNAcentral describes it as "partial 16S ribosomal RNA". It matches the Rfam family "Bacterial small subunit ribosomal RNA", at positions 524 to 776 of the family's 1533-position model. The record is from RNAcentral.